CUGUACAGUAUGUGUGUUGGGGGUGUGUCCAUCUGGAAAGUGACAGCGUCGUGUGUUUGUAGCCAAUCACAGCGGGAGGCUAACUCCUAUAAUAUGGGUCUUCUAUCCUCUCAAACCAACACGUCAGGAAAGCAUUACCUUUAGGUUCACUUUCUCAUGAGAUUUAUAAAGCUGCAUCAUGACUGAUGGACAAACAGAGUUUCAGCACUUAUUUUACAAUAUCUUUAUUUCAUUUUAUCGAACAGACUGGACAACUAAUUGUACAUCGUGAUAUGUGAUCUUGGACGGAUGUACAAUAGUAAAACUCAGGUUCUUCAUUUUAAACAUGCCAUAUAGACAUCUGAAAUAAAUAGAACUGUAAUAAUGCCAGACGUUGGUAUGUACCAAUGUGUUGUUAGGCAGAGUUACAAUGCUUAGUUCCAGACCUGUAUAUAUGGGGACAGAGCAACAGGCUGAUGUAGAACUCAGAGUGACAUGGUGGGUGACAUCAUAGACCAUGGGAGUCAGCAAGCACUCCAAAUGAUAGUUCUAGAAUAGGUGGAAUAGUUUUAGGACCAGUUUCCCCAGACACAGAUUAAGCCUAGUGCUGGAUUCUAAAUCAUGCUGAAUGGAGAAUCUCCAUGGAGUCCAAGACUAGGCGUAAAAGAUGCACUGUGCAGAUAUCGCACCGCCAUUUCCUGGUUGCUUGAAUUCGAAUUUCAACUUGUGAGAAAGCAAGCAUGUAUAGUGUAGAGAAUCAUUGUAGCAUCUAAACUGCUGUGAAAUAUAUUGUCCAAUAACCAAAAACAUUGUAUUUUCAGCUGAUUUGAAGCUGGUGUACAAAACCCAAAGUAAAAGACCCCAAAAAACAAAACUAUAAAACAGGAAGCAUAGAAAAAUAACAGAUCUACCACCUUCUUAGACUUGCUUUCAAUGAAAAUAACAGAUCUAUAACAUAUCUAUGUGAAUUUGGUCAGGUCACCCAAAAAGCUACACAUUGCAGCUCUAAUCUGUGUCUGGGAAACUGGCCUUAAGGCUUUUCAUUUAAGGCUGUGAUAGGAGAGGGGCACUAUUAACCCCAGAUGAAGAUAGACAGGCUGUGAGGAGAGGGGCACUAUUAACCCCAGAUGAAGAUAGACAGGCUGUGAGGAGAGGGGCACUAUUAACCCCCAGAUGAAGAUAGACAGUCAGAAUGGGGGAUGGAAGAUACACCACAAAUGAAUAUCAACGACAGAAACCAGGAAGAGGCAUGUCAUUCUGAGAUGAGGUUCUCUAUUACAAACGUUUCAUCGACAGGACAGGAGCCAACGUGACAAAAUGGCCACCAAUAGCGAUUUGCAUAUUAGUCAAAGACGAGCAUUUUUAGCCUGAUUAAAACUAGACUGAGCACUCCCCUCAUGGUGAACACAGCAUUCAGUCUGGUUUAACCAGGCUAGGAUAUAGUCUAGAAAAAGGGAUAAGCGUGACCCACUGUUAGAUAGCUCUAGGGUGAGGUUUCCCCUAGGUACAGAUCUAGGAUCAGCUUCCCCUCCCCAAUCCUAAC
Non-coding RNA from Oncorhynchus mykiss (rainbow trout), 1522 nucleotides. The record is from RefSeq and is a predicted model, not a curated record. NCBI's taxonomy places the organism in Eukaryota, Metazoa, Chordata, Actinopteri, Salmoniformes, Salmonidae.